UAAGUUUCGUGAGUGAAAAUAAAAGCGAAAGUCGUGUGUGUGAUUCUGUUUAGCGACGGAAUUUCCGAAAUAGCCGAAAGGCCUAAUUUCGUCAUCGACACAGAAUACGUUCAUGCUGGGUCGUAACUUUAAGUUUAGCAGAGCGGUAUAGAGC
Molecule: long non-coding RNA, 154 nt
Organism: Bradysia coprophila
Lineage: Eukaryota; Metazoa; Arthropoda; Insecta; Diptera; Sciaridae
Source: RefSeq, a predicted model, not a curated record